GUGAAUGCAUUUCAUUUUUUAGGAGGCUGCAAUCAGCUACUGAGUAGGACAGGGGAACCUUGAGCGUCUCCUUCUCUCCCCAUCCCCAGGACCUAAUAAGGAGGGAGAGGGCAUAGUUUGGGCCUGGGGAGAGGGCUGGGGCGGAGCCGUGUCGCUGGUAGGAGGGGCUGCGAUCCUUAGUCAGCAGCCGGUGAGGAGGUGGGCCUGAGCAGGGGGCGGAGCCUGAGGGGGGCAGGGCCUGCGGGGGGGCGGGGCUGGGCCCGGGCGGAGGGCUGGGCGGCGUCCGGGGGCUAGGGGAGCCGUUCAAACCCACGCCGGGGCGGGGCUUCCGGGAUGCUUGCGAAGGGCGGUCGUUUGAAGGCUCAAGUGUUCCGCCGGAGAGCUUGUGAAAGGGACCGAGGCCGGCCGUAUAAGACACCUUCUGAGCAGGGGUUGAGGAGGGGCGUGGUUCCUGCUCUCCGUGCCGUCCUGUGAUCCUGUCCACCAGGCAGAGCAGCCCCCGGGAAGGGCUGAGGCUGGGAGCGCGCUCGAGGCCAGGCCUCAGCUGUGCCCCUCCCCAGGCUGCACCUCAGGCCCGAGAGCCCGCACCCAUAGCGCCUUCAAGGGUCACCUGCAGUCAUGCUCCUCAUUCAGGAGGGUCUGGCUCCAGCCUUUGGUCUAGGGUUUGGGGGAGAGUGGGGGUGGGUGAGAAAGAAAUCUUACCAGGGCUAUGGAGUGGCUUAGUUUGGUCUCUCUAGGGUGAUUGGGAGGAGAGCUUGAAGAACCAGUUCAUUAAUUCAACAAAUAUUUAUUGAGCACCUGCUAUGUGCUGUGACAGGCCCUGGGAAUAUAGCAGUGGACUAGACAGACAAAAAUCCCUACCUUUGAAUUGAAGAUUUUUGUGAGAAAUUAUAGGUAAUAAUUAGGUACAAAGGUGAUUAUAUAUGGUGUAUAUAUAUGUCUAUGUAUUUAUUUAUUUAUUUCUGGUUAGAUGGUGACAAGGCUGUGACCUGGGGCUGCUGUGCUGAGAUUGCCCGCCUCAGGGGCACGAAGGCCAUCCAGCAGAGGCAAGCAGAGAGCAUGAGGGACAGAGGUGAGGAGUGCUCUGAAGGUGUGUUUGAGUCCCCAGACUCAGCAGGCCUACACUCAGCUCUCCCCCUGCAUUUCUCAGUCACGUGAGCCUGUGAAGGCCUCUCUUUUGUUUUGGUUGUUCUGCCGCCUGCAACUGAAGGUGUCCUGCCUAGUGCAUUCCUGCGCCAGCUUGUGCACCCUCAGGGAGUGCCUGAGCGAGCCGUGGGGGAAGGACAAUGUCCAGAGCGGAGAGAGGGCUGGGCAGGGCCCUCAGGAGAUGAGCUGCUGACCAAGCCAAGAGAGCACGGUGGGGAGCCUUGUGUGUGGGUGGCAGCUGUUCCAGGCCACACUGCAUGGGCAGGCUUGGGCCCAAGGUUGUCCCAGAGGUCCUGCAGAGCAUCCCUGAGUGGCCUCUGCAUGGAUGUGGACCCAGAAAGGCUGGCGCAGUGAGCGGUGCUCCACCCUCGGCCUCUGAUGUCUCAGAAUCUCGGGAAUGAUGCUGGCCCGUGCGAUGGUACCACCACCUCUUGUCUGCAUGUGUGUGAAGAUGAGAUGAAACAACACGUGUGUGAAGCGCCCAGAGGCAGCCGCUGUUGACUGAGCACGGUGCUAUUCCAGUCCUACUCCUUUCCCUGCCCCACAUCCACUAAUUCUAUUUUCAUGCUGUCUUUGAAAUAAGUUGCCUUCUGCUUACGGUCAUGGUCUGACUUGGAUUGCUAAAGGUAAGUUCUACACUUAUUGGGGCAGUGUUAAUUGGUCCAAAAUAACAGCUCUUAAAGAGCAAUAAUUCCUUUCAUUUGUGUAGUGCUUUAUAGCCAUAAAUUACUUUUAAUAACACUCCAUCAUUGAUUCCUCCCAACAGCCUGAUGAGACAGGUGUAAUUCUGUCCAUUUUUUAGAUUUGGAAGUAAGCUCAAAGAAGGUGAGUACAAGUAUAAGAAUCAGAGAAACAGGAAGUCACAAUGGACCUGUCUCUAAGAGAGGGCAGGUCCUAAGCAGCCACUUCGGCAGCCUGUGGAGGUCCUGAGGAGCCUACAGUUUGGGUGAGGGAGGGCAGCUGGAAGUACUCAGGGCCUGCUCCUUAUGGUGGGGGAGGGGGAGAAGGCGAGAGGUGGUCGGAGGGACAAUGCCACCGCAUUUGCUGUGAGGCGGGUAUUUUUUAUCUCCUUUUUCCACAUAAGGAGACUGAAGCUCGGUAAGGCCAAAGUCACAGAAUUAGUAAAACUCAGCCAGGUCUUUUGAUUCCAAGUCUAGAGAGCUUUCCACUCAGAAACCCUUAAGGUUUUGAAACGUUUUGUGGUUUCUGAUUUAUUAGGGACUUUUUUAAAAGAGUGGUGAAUAGACACAACUGUCAGUCCAGACUUGCAGAGUUCUUUGCAAAGACAGCCGGCAUGAUAUGGUGGAAAAGAAAACACAAGAUUUGGAAGCCUUCUGCAAAUUGUAGCACCCUCUGAAAUGUUUUUGUUGUUUCUUUUACAUUAUUUGCGUAUUUUUGCUGUGAAAAUUUAAAGGGACCUGUUUGCUCUUUCUGUGUCCUUGCUCAGUGGCUACAAAGUGUCUGCUACACAGUAGCAGCUCAGUAAAUGGUAACUUUUGGAAUGAAUUGGAAUGAAGCCAAGGGCCUUGCUCUGUGUUCCUACAACGGGGGUUCUCUCAGCCAGCUGCCGACAGGUCCUUCCCUCCCUGAGGGCAGUGGGCAUAUCUUUCCUUUUGUGUUUCGCACUGCAUCCCCUGGGCAGCCCUGUCCUGUCUUCCCCUGUCAGUAGGUCACCUGUGUGCUCUGCUAUAGGCAACAGAUCUCAUUACAAACAGGAGGCUGGGCAGAUGUGCAGUGAGAGAGGCCCCCAUAGCCCAUCUCCCUGGAUUGCUUGGGAAGAAAUAGAUGACUCAGUGCUGGCACACAGGGACCGGGAUGCCAGCCCCAUUGGCAGCAGUGGCAUGGGGAGUGGAGGGCUUGCUUCUGCAGUCCCCAUUCCCUGGCACCAGCCUGAAGGCCAGGGCCUGCUUCGUGGGCAUCAGAAGGUUAUGAGCAGGCCUCCUCACCCUGUGGGGAUAAUUGGAUUAGCUAAAGAAAGAGUGGCUCCCUUCUGCCCUGCUCUGUCUGUAUUCUUCUCGGCAGGACCCUGGGAAGAGAAAGUCUGGGGCUGCAGGCUCUGGGCUCCUCCCUGACCUCUGGGGCAUUGGGUCAGCCUGGGGUCUUAUUAUCCCACUCUGUUCGCAGCAUGUGAAACGGUAAGGCCAGCAUGUGGCCCCACCGCUGAACAUAGAGUCAGAGAAUAAGAAAGCAGGGGCCUUCAGAGAACCAGCCUCCCUGUUCCCAAAACGUGCCAGGCCUAUCUCUGUGACCAAAGCCCUGCUCCCCUACUCAGGCAGAGGCUGUUCUGGUUAGGAAGCUCUGGGCAGAUAGCAUGGUGGGACACACAUUUUGGCAUCAAAGAGACCUAGAUUCAAAUCCUUCUCUGCCGCUUCCUGGCUGUAUGCCCUUGAACCUCUCUGAACCAGUUUCCUUACAUAGCAAAAUGGGGUUAAUAAUAUCUACUUCAGGGGGCGGAUGUGAGGGGCAAAGGGUCUCUCUGUGGGGAGAGGUUUUGGUAUAAAGGAUUAUGAUGACGUGCCUCCCAGAGGGCAGAAUGUGGGCAUGUGGACUCUUUUGUCAAAGACGCUUGGGAUCCUGGGCAAAUUCUUUUUGCAAAGUCUCUGUGUAAAUAAAGAUUGGUGUCACCUAAAAUCAGAGUGCUGUCACCAUUCUGGCAUCUGAGCUAGUGUGAUCCUGUAAAACAAAUGCCACACCAGCCAGUGAGCAAACUGCCCACCAGAUCCCCAUUCUGGAACUGGAGUGGCACAGACCUUCAGUGCGAUCCCUUGUGUGUGAGUCUAGGAGCUCCUCCCGACAUCUGGUCAACACCACUUGCUUGGGCGUGAGGGGUGGGCACAGAAUUGGAGAGUGCCCAGAAGGGGAGAAAUUGGAAGGGAACUUAGAAAAUUGUGAGGAAGACACUCCAAAUCCCACGACCCUGAGUCUCAGGCCUGGGACUGGCGUGCACGCCCAGGCCUGGGGGCAGCAGUAUCUGUGUGAAGCCCAGGCUAGGUCUCUGCCCGACUCAGGGCUAAAGUGGAGCUUGGGGUUAAAGUGCAAGAAGGGGAUUGAGGUUGAUAGAGCAGGAGGGGGACUUAAAGAUGACUAAGUCCAGCUUCUUAGGGCACAGGCUUUCUCUCACACCAGCUCAUUUGUUUGGCCGUCAUGAAGGGGAAGUCAUGUGGUGGCAUCUGUGGCUGCAGCACCGUGUCUUGCUGAGUUGAGUGGAGCUGUGAGUGCCCUACUGACCAGGGGCAUUGACUCGCCUUUGAGGUGUGGCUGGAUGUUGGGUAUUGGGCCUCAGGAAGGCACGGGGCCUCCUUACUCGAGGGGAUAAAUGGGGAGGGACAGAGUGGAGAGUGUCUUUUGCACCUUUUGGGGAUUCCCAACUCCAUUCCCUCAUCCUAGGAGCUUGGCGGGCUGAGCAGGGUCCUUUCCCAAGAAGGCAGUUCCUCAGGUGGGCCUGCCCCAACCACCCUCCUUGGUUAGGCCUGGCCUCUGGACACAUGACUUAGGGCCCUGCUCCUUCCGCCCCAGCUCCCCACAACCUGCUGGUCAAUUCCUGAAGAUUCAAUGGGAGCUGAACCUUGAGGCAGGUGGACAUGUCCAUUUCCAUGGAGCAAUCCUCCAAAGCCCUGGUGUAUACUCACCCCACACCUAGGACCCCCAGUUUCUGCACAAAUUCAUGGAGACUGGCCAAAUGAAAAACAUCUUGGAAUGUUUCUGCUUGUCCAUUGUCCAAGGAAGGGACGGAGGAGCAAGAGGGCCAGGCAGGCGCUGCCUUACCAGGCUGCGUGGACAUGAUGGGACCCCCGGGGAAGAGUGUUCCUGCCGAGGGGCUUGCUACCUGGAUCCUCUGCAAGACAGACCCCUCAAGUUCCUCUCCCCCUCCUGCUAAUUCCAUCAAAACCUCUUGGUUAGUGGAAAGAGCACUAGACUAAGUGAGUAGGAGAUUUGGAUUCCAACGGUGACUGUUACUGUUCUGGGUGACCUUAGGUAGGUCUCUGUCCUUGUUUUGCUCAUCUGAACAUCGAAAUGAUAAUCAAAUCUGUUCAAUUGGUUAUUUUGAGAUGCAGUGAGAUAAUGUAGGUAAAAGAGCUUUGGAAAAUUUGUGCAAUACUACACAAGUGUAAGGUAUUAUCAUUAAACAACUCUGAGCUCUUGCUUAUUGCUCACAGCGAUCUUUGGCCUUUUAAUACACUUCCUCUUAGGAAGUCCAAAGCCAGGGUCAUCUUUAAUGAGAACAUUAAAGAUGGAAUCUUGUUAAAAUGCAGAUUCUGGUUCAGUCAGUCUGAGGUGGGCUCAGAUUCUGCAUUUCGUUGCUCCCAGGUGAUACCAAUCCUGUUGGUCUUGGGGACCACUGGUGAGAAGCAAGGGACUGGGAGAAGUAUCCCCUCGCAGGAAAGGAGACUGAAGUCUUCCUAGAGUUGGUUGAGAAGAAACAGCUCAGAAAAUACAGCAGAAGUACGGGUUUAUUAAAACAGCUGGCAGUCAAAGAUGGCCUGUUGGUCACAAAAGAUAAACUUUGGUCUUUGGAAAAACAGAGAGCAAGAGGCAAGAAGAAGGAAGAGAGAGACUGGGCGGGGGAGGGUGACAAAGAGACAGAGAGAGAGACAGAGAGACACAAGGAGACUCAGGGAGCCAAGAAGCCUUGGACAGAUCACUUCCUGGACUUCUCUGCAGAGCAGCCACCAUUGGUCUUACUAAGAGAGUCUGUGCUGCCCAUUCUUGAACCCAUGCUGUUGAGGAUUUUGUCGAUUUCUCCUGGGAUGUUUUGCUUCUCCUCAUUCUCAGUCUCCCGAUGGUAGAAGUAGUUAAAGUUGGAGACAAUGACAGGCACAGGGAGGGCAAUGGUGAGGACCCCUGCAAUGGCACACAGAGUGCCCACAAUUUUCCCUCCUGGGGUGGUUGGGCACAUGUCUCCGUAGCCCACAGUUGUCAUGGUGACCACUGCCCACCAGAAACCAUCAGGAAUGCUAGAGAAAUGGGACUCUGGCUCAUCUACCUCAGCAAAGUAGAUUGCACUGGAGAAGAGAAUGACUCCAAUGAAGAGGAAGAAGAUGAGCAGCCCCAACUCCCGCAUGGAAGCCUUCAGCGUCUGCCCCAGGAUCUGCAGCCCCUUGGAGUGGCGGGAGAGCUUGAAGAUGCGGAAGACCCGCACCAGCCGGAUGAUCCUCAGGAUGGCCAGGGACAUGUUCUGCUGGGCGCUCGGCUCUGUCUCCUGGACAAGCUCUGUGAUGAGGGUUGCAAAGUAGGGGAUGAUGGAGAUGAUAUCGAUAAUGUUCAUGAUGUUCCUGAAGAAGUCAGUCUUGCUGGGGCAGACCACAAACCGGACCACCAGUUCAAAGGUGAACCAUACGAUGCAGGUGGACUCUACCAUGAAGAAAGGGUCAGUGAACAUGGUGUGGGAAAGGAAUGUCUUGCUUGUGUUGAGGCUGGGGUCUCUUACCACCUUCAGCUCCCUAUCCUCCCGGAACUCAGGUAGUGUCUCCAGGCAGAAGAUUGUGAUGGAGAUGACCACAACCAGCACAGAGACCACUGCUACACCACGGGCAGCACUGGAGCUCUCAGGAUACUCGAAGAGAAGCCAGAACUGCCGGUGGAAGUCAUUGGUGGGGAGCAAUGUUUCAGGGUCUUUGAUGAAGCCUUCGUCCUCCCGGAAUUGGUCCAUGGCCUCGCUACCCAGCUCAUAGAAGGAGAUCUCAUCAGCAAAGACAUCGAUAGGGACAUUGGCUGGGCGCCGGAUUUUUCCACCAGAUUGGUAAUAAUAUAGGAUUCCAUCAAAACUGGGCCGGUUCCUGUCAAAGAAAUACUCAUUUCUCAUGGAGUCGAAGAACUGCAUCCUUUUCUCCCGGUCUCCCAGGAGGGUCUCUGGGAACUGAUUGAGGGUUCUGAGUUGGGUUUCAAAUCUCAGCCCAGCGAUGUUGAUGAUCACCCGCUGGUUCCCUUCAUUCAAGACCACUGACUCAGGCCCUGGGGGAUCCACAUAGUCUCCUGGGAGCUUAGAGAAGGUCGUCUCAUGGUUGGUGCUGUCACUGAUGAGGAUCCUCCAGUUGGAGAAGGGGCUGCUUCCAGACUGGCCUUUUGGGUUGGUUGGGUCAAAAUCUGUGGCAUAGUCUGGCUCUUCCUGGAUUUCAUCUGAGUUAUCAAAAUUGACCAGAGCAACCUCCAUUUCUUUCCAGCCACGCGCAUCCAUCGUAGGGGAGUCAGGGAAGCAGCAUGAAGACUCUCAGUCUUCCCCGCCUGCUGCAAGCUGUGGAGAGGAAGAAGGUCAUCAAACAGGAGCUGGGACACAGCUGGCUCUUGAUCAUUGAGGUAAGGUGUACCAAGGGAGUCAAAAAUGAUUUAUUUUUAGCUUGGGAAGGAAGCUUGUGGUUGUUUUGACAACAUUCAUCCAUUGAAAUCAAUUUGUAUCCCAAGUCUGCACACACUAGUAACUAGAAGAAAUUGCAAAGAAAGAGCUUGGCUGAGAGGGGAAAACUUUCUCCAGCCAAAGACCCUCUCCAUACAUGAUGGCAGAGAGAGGCCAUAAUGGGAGAGGAAGUAAACAUUUCUUAAUAAUAAAACGUAUAAUUUGGUAUUUGGAUGAAGUCCUCCAGUUUACCCAACACUUUUCCAUGCCCAGUCUCAUCUUUAACUCCCUUCUUUCUCUCACCUUUGACAUCAGUCCCGCGUGUAUCCUUUUGGUUAUAUCUUAAGAUGUAUCUAGAAUUCAGCCAUUUCUCAUCACCUACAGCAGCUGGUUGGGCAACCAACAGCAUCCUCUCCAGCAGUGACUAUCUGUGCCUUAUCCCCUCCUCUGUAAGUAACUUCCAGGGUUGUUCUGAGGGUACAUUAAAUGAGGUGGCUUAUGUAAAAUGCCUGGUGGAAAGAUCACUAAAGUAUAACUAUUGUUUUUGCCAACUUCUCCACAUAGCAGGACAUUUAGAAGCCAACAGCUAUUGGUAUUUUUUUUUGCCUUAGAUCCAAAAUGUUUAUGGGAAAUGAUUUCAUUUUUAAAAAUCAUUUUAGGCAGGUGGGAAGUAAGUAAGUAAUUGCAUGUGUGUGUGUGUGCACACGCAUGUGUUUGUGUGUUUGUUGGGGGUGGGGCUAAGGAGAGCAUGCCCAGUGGGCUUGGAUAUCCACACAGGUUAAGAGUCCUUCCUCAGGUCCACUCAAGCUUCGAUUUCAACUCAAUAACACUGCAGGCAGGCAGGCUGGGGGUGAGGGUGGGAGAGAGGUAAAGUCUGUAGUGGGCAUAGCCAUGACGUCAUUUCAUUUACAGAUGACAAGGACAUCCUGCAGUGUACAGUGUUGUAGUCUUUUCAAAGUGAUGCCACGUUUGCUUGUCUCGCUAAAUGACAAUGAUUGAAGUUGGAAAAUUUUAUUUCCAUUUUACAGAUGGGGAAGCUGAGUCACAGGGACCAAGUGAUACAGAGCCCUGAUCUGAACCUGCCUCCUGGCCCAGGGCCUUUCCUACUAGCCCAUGGGGCCCCUGCGUGGAAGCUGAGGCCUUGAGGGGAGCUGCAGGCUAGGGCCACAGGAGUGUGGGAGCUCGGAGCUCCUUCAGUUCCAUGCCCUCAUUUCUCAGUUCGGGUGCCAGGUGUGGGGUGAAGAGCUCAGGUUUGGGUGGCCAGGGCUGGCUGAGCACCUGCCCUCCCUCUUAGGAAUGUGUGGCCUUGCAAGCUGCCUAAUUUCACUGAACUGCAGCUUCCUUGGCUGUGGAAUGGGGGCGGAUGUAGCCACCAUGGAGCAUGUCAGGUGCCGGCCUGCCAUGUGAUGCUCAGUGAGCAGUAGGGUGGUUGGAAGGCAGGAUGGAGCAGUGGUUAAGAACUCUGAGAUGGGAACCAGUCUACGUGAGCUGGAAUCCUGGCUCUGCACAUGGGAAGCCCUGGAGAGAUGUUAGCUGUUCCUUCGCAGUGACCCAUAUGAUGGUGUAUGGGACUUGUCCUGGGCUACUCGGCUCCCGGGCAGACCUAGGGCCAGGACUCCGUCUCUCUGCCCACCUUGUGACUUCAGAGCAGCCCUUUGUCCUUUGGGGUCAUGGCCCUGGGGGAUGCUCCCUGCUCAUCUCCUUCUUGGUGUGAAUGCCAUCCCACUUUCUGCAGGCUGAAAGGCAGGGGUGCCAUCCA
Equus caballus (horse) is the source of this 9236-nucleotide long non-coding RNA. The record is from Ensembl. Lineage: Eukaryota; Metazoa; Chordata; Mammalia; Perissodactyla; Equidae.